This is a long non-coding RNA of Limanda limanda (common dab), 644 nucleotides long. RefSeq lists it as uncharacterized. The transcript is spliced from 3 exons. The record is from RefSeq and is a predicted model, not a curated record. Lineage: Eukaryota; Metazoa; Chordata; Actinopteri; Pleuronectiformes; Pleuronectidae.
GAUAAGAUUAAAUGUGGUGCUGGGCCGUAGCGGAGUGAGCUGCAGUGAUGACCCAGCGAGGGGAGAUGAUGGCCCCUCCACAGACGUGCCUCCCCCUCCACUGCAAGCUGACCUGCCAGCCCCACCUGCCGCUGGCCGCCAUCGUCCCCCCAACAAUACGUCGGCCAUCGUUGGCUUGAGCUGUGCAUUCUGGAGGAUUCUUGGACAGAAAAGAAAAGGGAGUGGGGACACUGCAGUUCACUUUUGCACCACAGGGGAGAGAAGGUUCAACCUCAGAGGGGAAUAACAGGAACUUCACUGAAAGGAAGAGACAAGGAAUAAAAAAGUGGGAGAGUUUGCUUAUAAUAAUUAAAAAAAACACAUUAAGUAAAAAUGUCAACUCCACAAAAAACUCCCAAUAAUAUUUAAUGUCCUCAUUCUUGAAAUAACUGAAAUGUCAUCUUUGUAUGUAAAAUAAUUUUGACCCCAUGGCAUUUUAUUUUGUUAUUAUAUUUACAUUCAUCUGAACACUUCAUAUUAAAUGUUGAAAUUGAAGUCGGACAUUCUUGUUAGUUGAUUUGAAUUUUGUCCUAAUAUUAAUUCUCACUGACGUGUUAUAAGAAGUUCAGUCGGUGCCAAAUCAAAAUAAUAUGAACCAAAAGUAG